UUGCUCUUCAACGAGGAAUGCCUAGUAAGCGCAUGUCAUCAGCAUGCGUUGAUUACGUCCCUGCCCUUUGUACACACCGCCCGUCGCUACUACCGAUUGAAUGGCUCAGUGAGGCCUUCGGACUGGCUCGAAGAGGUUGGCAACGACCACUUCGAGCCGGAAAGUUGGUCAAACUCGGUCAUUUAGAGGAAGUAAAAGUCGUAACAAGGUUUCCGUAGGUGAACCUGCGGAAGGAUCAUUACCUAGAGUUGUAGGCUUUGCCUGCUAUCUCUUACCCAUGUCUUUUGAGUACCUUCGUUUCCUCGGCGGGCCCGCCCGCCGAUCGGACAUAUUCAAACCCUUUGCAGUUGCAAUCAGCGUCUGAACAAACUUAAUAGUUACAACUUUCAACAACGGAUCUCUUGGUUCUGGCAUCGAUGAAGAACGCAGCGAAAUGCGAUAAGUAGUGUGAAUUGCAGAAUUCAGUGAAUCAUCGAAUCUUUGAACGCACAUUGCGCCCCUUGGUAUUCCAUGGGGCAUGCCUGUUCGAGCGUCAUUUGUACCUUCAAGCUUUGCUUGGUGUUGGGUGUUUGUCUCGCCUCUGCGCGCAGACUCGCCUCAAAACAAUUGGCAGCCGGCGUAUUGAUUUCGGAGCGCAGUACAUCUCGCGCUUUGCACUCAUAACGACGACGAUCCAAAAGUACAUUUCUACACUCUUGACCUCGGAUCAGGUAGGGAUACCCGCUGAACUUAAGCAUAUCAAUAAGCGGAGGA
This 753-nucleotide ribosomal RNA is filed under the name uncultured fungus. Its description in RNAcentral is "eukaryotic LSU rRNA". The stretch from base 1 to 241 matches the Rfam family "Eukaryotic small subunit ribosomal RNA", at positions 1593 to 1831 of the family's 1831-position model. Lineage: Eukaryota; Fungi. The record is from RNAcentral.